GACGAACGCUGGCGGCGUGCGUAAUACAUGCAAGUCGAACGCUUUUUCUUUCACCGGAGCUUGCUCCACCGAAAGAAAAAGAGUGGCGAACGGGUGAGUAACACGUGGGUAACCUGCCCAUCAGAAGGGGAUAACACUUGGAAACAGGUGCUAAUACCGUAUAACACUAUUUUCCGCAUGGAAGAAAGUUGAAAGGCGCUUUUGCGUCACUGAUGGAUGGACCCGCGGUGCAUUAGCUAGUUGGUGAGGUAACGGCUCACCAAGGCAACGAUGCAUAGCCGACCUGAGAGGGUGAUCGGCCACACUGGGACUGAGACACGGCCCAGACUCCUACGGGAGGCAGCAGUAGGGAAUCUUCGGCAAUGGACGAAAGUCUGACCGAGCAACGCCGCGUGAGUGAAGAAGGUUUUCGGAUCGUAAAACUCUGUUGUUAGAGAAGAACAAGGAUGAGAGUAAAAUGUUCAUCCCUUGACGGUAUCUAACCAGAAAGCCACGGCUAACUACGUGCCAGCAGCCGCGGUAAUACGUAGGUGGCAAGCGUUGUCCGGAUUUAUUGGGCGUAAAGCGAGCGCAGGCGGUUUCUUAAGUCUGAUGUGAAAGCCCCCGGCUCAACCGGGGAGGGUCAUUGGAAACUGGGAGACUUGAGUGCAGAAGAGGAGAGUGGAAUUCCAUGUGUAGCGGUGAAAUGCGUAGAUAUAUGGAGGAACACCAGUGGCGAAGGCGGCUCUCUGGUCUGUAACUGACGCUGAGGCUCGAAAGCGUGGGGAGCGAACAGGAU
This 778-nucleotide ribosomal RNA is filed under the name Enterococcus casseliflavus. RNAcentral's name for it is "bacterial SSU rRNA". It matches the Rfam family "Bacterial small subunit ribosomal RNA", at positions 28 to 778 of the family's 1533-position model. The record is from RNAcentral. Lineage: Bacteria; Bacillati; Bacillota; Bacilli; Lactobacillales; Enterococcaceae.